AUUGAACGCUGGCGGCAGGCCUAACACAUGCAAGUCGAGCGGUAACAGAUUGAUAGCUUGCUAUCAAUGCUGACAAGCGGCGGACGGGUGAGUAAUGCCUGGGAAUAUACCCUGAUGUGGGGGAUAACUAUUGGAAACGAUAGCUAAUACCGCAUAAUCUCUUCGGAGCAAAGAGGGGGACCUUCGGGCCUCUCGCGUCAGGAUUAGCCCAGGUGGGAUUAGCUAGUUGGUGGGGUAAUGGCUCACCAAGGCGACGAUCCCUAGCUGGUCUGAGAGGAUGAUCAGCCACACUGGAACUGAGACACGGUCCAGACUCCUACGGGAGGCAACAGUGGGGAAUAUUGCACAAUGGGGGAAACCCUGAUGCAGCCAUGCCGCGUGUAUGAAGAAGGCCUUCGGGUUGUAAAGUACUUUCAGUUGUGAGGAAGGCGUUGGAGUUAAUAGCUUCAGCGCUUGACGUUAGCAACAGAAGAAGCACCGGCUAACUCCGUGCCAGCAGCCGCGGUAAUACGGAGGGUGCGAGCGUUAAUCGGAAUUACUGGGCGUAAAGCGCAUGCAGGCGGUCUGUUAAGCAAGAUGUGAAAGCCCGGGGCUCAACCUCGGAACAGCAUUUUGAACUGGCAGACUAGAGUCUUGUAGAGGGGGGUAGAAUUUCAGGUGUAGCGGUGAAAUGCGUAGAGAUCUGAAGGAAUACCGGUGGCGAAGGCGGCCCCCUGGACAAAGACUGACGCUCAGAUGCGAAAGCGUGGGGAGCAAACAGGAUUAGAUACCCUGGUAGUCCACGCCGUAAACGAUGUCUACUUGAAGGUUGUGGCCUUGAGCCGUGGCUUUCGGAGCUAACGCGUUAAGUAGACCGCCUGGGGAGUACGGUCGCAAGAUUAAAACUCAAAUGAAUUGACGGGGGCCCGCACAAGCGGUGGAGCAUGUGGUUUAAUUCGAUGCAACGCGAAGAACCUUACCUACUCUUGACAUCCAGAGAAUUCGCUAGAGAUAGCUUAGUGCCUUCGGGAACUCUGAGACAGGUGCUGCAUGGCUGUCGUCAGCUCGUGUUGUGAAAUGUUGGGUUAAGUCCCGCAACGAGCGCAACCCUUAUCCUUGUUUGCCAGCACGUAAUGGUGGGAACUCCAGGGAGACUGCCGGUGAUAAACCGGAGGAGGGUGGGGACGACGUCAAGUCAUCAUGGCCCUUACGAGUAGGGCUACACACGUGCUACAAUGGCGUAUACAGAGGGCUGCAAGCUAGCGAUAGUAAGCGAAUCCCACAAAGUACGUCGUAGUCCGGAUUGGAGUCUGCAACUCGACUCCAUGAAGUCGGAAUCGCUAGUAAUCGUGAAUCAGAAUGUCACGGUGAAUACGUUCCCGGGCCU
This 1366-nucleotide ribosomal RNA is filed under the name uncultured bacterium. Its description in RNAcentral is "bacterial SSU rRNA". It matches the Rfam family "Bacterial small subunit ribosomal RNA", at positions 28 to 1381 of the family's 1533-position model. The record is from RNAcentral.